This is a long non-coding RNA of Portunus trituberculatus (swimming crab), 1078 nucleotides long. RefSeq lists it as uncharacterized. The transcript has 2 exons. NCBI's taxonomy places the organism in Eukaryota, Metazoa, Arthropoda, Malacostraca, Decapoda, Portunidae. The record is from RefSeq and is a predicted model, not a curated record.
CCAUGCUUCAUUGUGGUUCGAUACCGAGGCCUCACCACAAAGGUCCAGGAGGAUUUAGUCUGAUCCCAGUGUUCCAUUACCCUGCGAGAAGCUUCGUGAAGCCCCGUGGUUCAUCCUGCAGGUUCAGAGCGGAGUCCAUUUACAUCAAACGCUUCAUAAACUCCUACAAAUCGCGCGUGGUGUCCCGUGGUGCGUCUCGCCGUUCAUUCAAGGUUUCACUCGAUGGUUCACGGCAGCUCACCAGGGACCAUAUUCUGAAACACUUCGCGCUGCACCUUCACUGCACUCACAGGCCUUGUGAUGUUAAAGUGACAUGUAUUUCAUGUUCCUGGUGGUAUAUAAAGAACGCCUCUACAAUAUAAACGAGAGAGACACUUGGGAACCCGACAAACCACUGUGGCCUUAAGAAACAGUCGUGGUGGGAGUGCAAAGCGUUCCAGCACAAAUCUUUCCCGGCACCGUUGAAACAUCCAGGAACGCGUAAUACGAGUACAACUAACCACCACCAGGCAUCAUAAGGCGCGUGUUGGAGGCGGUGGUGUAGGAACUCACUCACGCUGGUAGGCAGGAAGGGGAUGAUGUAUGCAUGGUGUGUCUGAGGUAACGCCAGGAUUACAUAGACUAGAGGACGUGUCUAAAUGGGACCAUGUGUCGUAUGUAUAGCCACAUAUGUCCAGGGAAAUCCUUUGUGUGUGUGUGUGUGUGUGUGUGUGUGUGUGUGUGUGUGUGAAGGGUUAUGUAUGCACUUGUCUCAUGUAACCUUGUAUAUGAGCGUUUUGCUUUCAUUGCUUGAGAGAGAGAGAGAGAGAGAGAGAGAGAGAGAGAGAGAGAGAGCUUGAUCCCUUCAGGCUCUUGAUAUGUAUAAUAAUGUCAAUACCUAACAAGACAAUAUAUUAAUGAUGCAUUUCUUUCCCAGGAAAUAUUUAAAUUUCAUCUCUUUAGAAAUUUGAAAUAUAUGAAACAUACAUUUUUACAUUAUUAUAUGAAGGUAAUGUCAAUAUACAACUAAAAAGUGUUAUGAAUGAUGAUGUGUGCAAAUAGACAUGUUUUGAAUAAUAAAUGUUGUAUGUAGGUCUGA